AACGCACAUUGCGCCCUUUGGUAUUCCUUAGGGCAUGCCUGUUCGAGCGUCAUCUAACCCCUCAAGCACUGCUUGAUGUUGGGCGCUUGUCCCGCCUCCGCGCGCGGACUCGCCUCGAAGACAUUGGCGGCCUGUGUAUUGGCUACGAGCGCAGCAGACUCGCGCCUCGUCCCCUCUCGCGCAGGCACCCAGGAAGCGCAAUACCCCCCAAAUUUUGACCUCGGAUCAGGUAGGGAUACCCGCUGAACUUAA
RNAcentral lists this unclassified non-coding RNA (252 nucleotides) under uncultured fungus. RNAcentral's name for it is "sequence contains ITS2". The record is from RNAcentral. Lineage: Eukaryota; Fungi.